UUCUAAUAGAAUUUAUUAUUAGUAAAAUCUGCUCAAUGAAAUUUCAAUAGCCGCAAUAUAUUUGUGCUAAGGUAGCAUAAUCAUUUGUCUUUUAAUUAAAGACUAGUACGAAAGAUUUAACUUUUAAUCUCUUUAAAAAUAUUAAUUUUUAAUUUAUCCUAAAUAUAAAAAGAUAUUUAUUUAUAAAAAAGACGAUAAGACCCUAUUGAACUUAACUAAAGUUAAACUGGGGAAGUUAAUUAAAAAUCAUUUUAAAUAAAUUUUAUCUAAAUGAUCCAAAAUAUUUGAUUACUUAAUCAAGUUACCAUAGGGAUAACAGCGUAAUAUUUCUUUAAAGAUCUUAUUAAAAGAAUUGCUUGCGACCUCGAUGUUGAAUAUCUACCUAGUAAAUGCAAUAGUCUACUAAGGAAGUCUGUUCGACUUUUAAUUUUAUACA
RNAcentral lists this ribosomal RNA (436 nucleotides) under Matachiinae sp. Queensland CG275. RNAcentral describes it as "partial 16S ribosomal RNA". The record is from RNAcentral. Lineage: Eukaryota; Metazoa; Arthropoda; Arachnida; Araneae; Desidae.